CGUGUAGGCGGUCUAGUUAAGUCUGAUGUGAAAGCCCUGGGCUCAACCCAGGAAGUGCAUUGGAAACUGGCAGACUUGAGUACGGGAGAGGAAAGUGGAAUUCCGAGUGUAGGGGUGAAAUCCGUAGAUAUUCGGAGGAACACCAGCGGCGAAGGCGGCUUUCUGGACCGAUACUGACGCUGAGACGCGAAAGCGUGGGGAGCAAACA
This 208-nucleotide ribosomal RNA is filed under the name uncultured bacterium. RNAcentral's name for it is "partial 16S ribosomal RNA". It matches the Rfam family "Bacterial small subunit ribosomal RNA", at positions 568 to 774 of the family's 1533-position model. The record is from RNAcentral.